This 1192-nucleotide long non-coding RNA is filed under the name Lynx canadensis (Canada lynx). RNAcentral's name for it is "lncRNA (ENSLCNG00005013601.1)". The record is from RNAcentral. Lineage: Eukaryota; Metazoa; Chordata; Mammalia; Carnivora; Felidae.
UGCAAUCCGGACCAGUAAUCUUAUCGUUGUACUUAUCCCAGACAAGACACAGGAUUAGACAGCAAACAGAGAAAACAGAGGAAAUGAGAAAAGGCAUCCAAAAGAUAGUGUUACAAGAGUGCAGGAAACUUUGCAAAUCUGAUUGUGGAUGGAUCAUUCAACAACCCCCCCCCCUUCUCUAUUCAAACAGGGCUUCACAUUUAGAUCCAGUUGAGGACCAUCCCUGAGAUUCAAUGUUUGAUGCUUCUUCAAUGCAGGAUGUCUGCUAACUCAACGAGGCAGGCUGUGGCCACCUUCCAAGGAAUGACUCAGGAGAGUCCAGAAAUGACGAUAAAGCAGCCAGAUCUCUCUUUCCUUGUGAGAGAAGACCAAAGCUCUCACCCAUCCAGCACCCUUCCCAGUGCUCCAGUAGAGAUGUGGGCCGUGUCAGCUUAUUUCUCCUUCCAGAUGCCCUGCCUUUCUCUGCAGCCACUUGCUUUAUUCCUUUUUCGUUUGGAGGAGGUUAGAGGAGAGGAGGCAGGAAAAGCCUCAGAGGAGGUAAGCUAACCUCUAAGUGACUCUAUGGGUCCUGUGAAUGCAGUGACAUUAACGUCCAUGAGAAUUUACAGCCUCCGCUGGCUCUGGAAUGACGUUUGUCUGAGAACCACUAGUAAAACAGCUGCAUGGGAAGUCUUGCUUCUUUGGGCAUACUUUUUCAUAUUUAACUUCUUUGGGAGCAAUAUUUUGUUUCGUCAAGGAUGAUAACUCAUUAUGUAACUUUAUAAUCAAAAUAUAUAAUUUCUCACAAUAAAUGAAAAAAAAUUGGGUGUAAUACCUUGCAUGACACCUAGUACUUCGCGCUAAAUAAUGGGGUAGACGAUUUGGCGUCUGGCUCCCCUAACUGGUGCUCAGUAUUACCCCCAGGUCAACCCAGCACCCUCUCUCUUGUCACAGCCUGCUAGGUAGUCUCCCCACAUCUCUUCUCACCCUCUGCAUACAGCAGCCAGAAUACUCUUCUCUUCUUAAAAAAUAAACAAUUACCAAAACCUCUCCCGUGGCCUGGGAAGCAUUCAUUUCACAGCAACAAGCUAUGUGUCUUCUGACAGAAAGCAGGGGAGGCUGGAGACAGCCAUUUGGAGAAAUGAGUCCGAAUGAAUGCUGUCUUGCAUUCAUUCAACAAAUGUCUUAUCAAGCAGCUUUCAUGGGCAGUGAA